CCAGACUCCUACGGGAGGCAGCAGUGGGGAAUAUUGGACAAUGGACCAAGAGUCUGAUCCAGCAAUUCUGUGUGCACGAUGACGUUUUUCGGAAUGUAAAGUGCUUUCAGUUGGGAAGAAAAAAAUGACGGUACCAACAGAAGAAGUGACGGCUAAAUACGUGCCAGCAGCCGCGGUAAUACGUAUGUCACAAGCGUUAUCCGGAUUUAUUGGGCGUAAAGCGCGUCUAGGUGGUUAUGUAAGUCUGAUGUGAAAAUGCAGGGCUUAACUCUGUAUUGCGUUGGAAACUGUGUAACUAGAGUACUGGAGAGGUAAGCGGAACUACAAGUGUAGAGGUGAAAUUCGUAGAUAUUUGUAGGAAUGCCGAUGGGGAAGCCAGCUUACUGGACAGAUACUGACGCUGAAGCGCGAAAGCGUGGGUAGCAAACAGGAUUAGAUACCCUGGUAGUCCACGCCGUAAACGAUGAUUACUAGGUGUUGGGGGUCGAACCUCAGCGCCCAAGCAAACGCGAUAAGUAAUCCGCCUGGGGAGUACGUACGCAAGUAUGAAACUCAAAGGAAUUGACGGGGGCCCGCACAAG
This 581-nucleotide ribosomal RNA is filed under the name uncultured bacterium. RNAcentral describes it as "bacterial SSU rRNA". It matches the Rfam family "Bacterial small subunit ribosomal RNA", at positions 331 to 929 of the family's 1533-position model. The record is from RNAcentral.